AGUAGUUUGAUCCUGGCUCAGGAUGAACGCUGGCGGCGUGCCUAAUACAUGCAAGUCGAACGGUAAGGCUUCCACUCUGUGUUUAAUGAUUUGAACAUAGUGUGGAAGUACACGAGUGGCGGACGGCUGAGUAACGCGUAGGAAUGUACCCCAAAGUGAGGGAUAAGCACCGGAAACGGUGUCUAAUACCGCAUGUGCUCUAAGGAGUAAAGCUUCGGCGCUUUGGGAACGGCCUGCGUAUGAUUAGCUUGUUGGUGAGGUAAUGGCUCACCAAGGCGACGAUCAUUAGCUGGUCUGAGAGGAUGAUCAGCCAGACUGGGACUGAGACACGGCCCAGACUCCUACGGGAGGCAGCAGUAGGGAAUUUUCCACAAUGGGCGAAAGCCUGAUGGAGCAACGCCGCGUGCAGGAUGAAGGCCUUCGGGUUGUAAACUGCUUUUAUAAGUGAAGAUUAUGACGGUAACUUAUGAAUAAGGAUCGGCUAACUCCGUG
Molecule: ribosomal RNA, 492 nt
Filed under: uncultured bacterium
Lineage: Bacteria
Description: bacterial SSU rRNA
Rfam family: Bacterial small subunit ribosomal RNA
Source: RNAcentral